Molecule: long non-coding RNA, 27217 nt
Filed under: Nicotiana benthamiana
Lineage: Eukaryota; Viridiplantae; Streptophyta; Magnoliopsida; Solanales; Solanaceae
Description: long non-coding RNA (NBEN_LNC033654)
Source: RNAcentral
CCCCCAAAAAGAGACCUGGUACCUUGUCUCCCCAAACCCUAAUACACGCCACCGUCCCUCCGCCGUCCGGCGGCGGCCGGUAAUCACCUCCGCGGGUGGCGAUUCUCCGAUGACUCCCAAAAUUACACCACCCCACCUCCUCGACCUCCUCUAUCCAAAUCUAUAAUUCUCAUCCCUCGAAUACCAGCAAAACUCCUCGAAUAUUUGUUUGAAGGGGCAGCUGAUCCACCGUGUGGACAAUGCUGAUGCCAAUCGACCCCAAUAGAACACCAAACACUCCCCUCACCUUCCUCACCCCGAAUCUGUAAGUCCCGUCCAUCGAAUGUCGACCAAACUUCUUGAAUAUCUAUUUGAAAUGGCGAAUGCUCCACCGUACCCGGCGGAGUCAUAUCCAAACAACCCCAAACUAACACCCAGACUCUCCUCACCUCCCUAUUCCCAAACCCCUAGCUGGUUCCCUCCAAAUCCUCUCGAAUUUAAAAUCAAAAUCCGGGCCAGGAACUCUAGUUUUCAACUGUUGGAGUUUACUGCUUUAAGGUGCUAUAACAACCUUUAAUCGUGUGUUUUCCCUUGAAAACACAUGACUAAGGAUGGUUAUAGUCCGAUUAUCUCUAAAAGCCGGCCUUAAUUUUAGAUUCAAAAUGAGCGAUUUCGAGGUAUUCCUCUUUUACCUCCUUUCUAUUGUUCUUCAUGAUUUUGAUUUUAUUUCUUCUAUUUUGUAUUUUUAUUAUUUUUAUUUUAUUUUUGGGUCUUAAUUUAGCGUUUGAUUUCAGCCAUACAGUGUUAGCUUGCUCCUAUUUUUCAAAUAUAUUAUCAAUGUUUUCUACUGAUUUUUGUUGGGUUUUCUUUUAGAGUUACAGUUCAAUUUUGUUUUUGAAUGAUUCCAUGCAUGUUGUCGCUUUGUUUGUUUGUUCAUUUCUUCUAUGUUUUACAGUAUAAUUCCGUAUAAACUUUACAUUUUUCUUAUUUGGUAUAGUUAAGCUGUUCAUUAAUGUUUCAGUGAUAAGAUUAGUCUUAGGUUAUAGUUAGAAUUAAUUUCCAUGUGUUUGUUAAUUAUAUUGAUGUAUUAGUUCAAUUCUUAGGAACUGUUUGCAUAUGGUUGAAUGCUCCAGCAAUGUUUUAUUUAACCAUGGUCAGUUCUGACCAAGAUUAAGGGGAUUGGAUUUAGUUUGACAUAGAUUAGUAAUUGUAGGACCAAUUCUAGGAUAGUUUAGGUAUUUUUAAACUAAAGAAUCCUGCACUAACUAAUUUGGAACCCACUAGAACAAUCUAGAUGGGGUUUUAAUUUAAAAUUCAUGAUUUAAAUGGUCUAACUUGAGUAACAAGUUAAGAACUAAGGGACUAAAUAGCUACAAUCUAAAAAAACAAAAGAGGGACUGAAUGCAAACUAAUUUUCAGCAAAAAUGCCCUAGUCCAUACCUAUAAAAGGCAUGCUAAAACCUGCCUUUAGGGGACUGAAAAAAAGGGAUAGGAAAUACGGAAUCAUUGGCGGCUGUAAAUUGACCAGGAAUUCUGACUGUCCUAUUGAAUUCUUAUUCUAAGGUGUAGGCUUGUUAUUCCAAAAGGAAAAAUCUAGUUCAAUUUUGAAAGAAUAGAUGGUGGAGUUUGAGUUUGAAAUGUUUGAUUCUUGAGAACUCGUUGGGUCAGCUGUCUGUGUGAAAUUGUUUUCCGGGCUGUAUUACCAUGUUUUUGAGUUCAAAUAAAUCCUUCUGCUAUCUAUUCUAUUAUUGUUGGAUUUGAGUCUAUGUGACUGGUUUUUGUUGCUGAUUCUGCUGUCUAUUUGCUGAUCAAUCACUCUUGCUUCUUUCCAUCUUCCAGGUAUUUUCCCUAGCUCAUAGUGGGAGACCAAUUGUUCAACUUGUAACAGUUGAAUGUGCUGAAAUGAAGACUGAGUUCAUGUUGACGUAUUCGUUUUACUCCCUUCUUGUUUUUAGUAUCUAGAUCUAGAAUUACUGAUGUGUAAGAGACUCCUAUAGAAUUUUCAUGGUGUGUAUUAAACUAAAAUUGGAAACCAUGGUUGUUAUGGUCUUGUUGCUUGUUAGCAUUUAGCUUUAGUACUUCUUAUCAGCAUGCAUAAAAUUAACAUCCAUACAGCAAUUUGAUUAGGAUUUAAUGUUAAGCUGUGUGUUUUAAAGAAUAUGGGAAUAAUCAGUAGCUUAAUUUAUAAGGGUGAUUUUUCUGGUCAUGCAUCUUCAUUAUUGCUAUCCCGUUGUAAAUAUUAGCUUAACUUCAUGGUUAUGGGUGUAACAUAUUAACACUGUGAUGAACUGAUUUUAAGAGGGUUAUUAGUUUAAUUGUUUUUGCAUUUUUAGUUUCGGACUUUCACUCUUGCAAUUUGCUCGUCAUGGUGUUAUGAAGAGGUGAAAUUAGUUUUAGAUACAUGUGGGAUGAGCAGCAAGUUUGAGCUAAGGAUGGAAAUGAUCUUUGCUCGAAUAUGGGCACAUUUUCAAGCCCAGGCAUCGACUAAAUGAAUUUGAAGGAAUUCUUUGCCUAAUGUGGGUCAAAAGGUCUAAAUCUGAAGAUAUAACUCUCACUUGCAUAUUCAUGGGUUGGCGUCAAUUUGCACUUAUAUUACUAUAGUUUGGACUAUUACCAUUGGAUCCGAACAACUUGGAUCGCAAGAACUAGGCCCAACGCUGGCCCAAUCACACCCAAACCCAGUUGUUAUUCACACUCAUAUUGGUCCACGAUGAUUGAUGUUAUUUGGAUGUCGUUAGCUCUGGGCCUUUGCUCCUUAUACCAUUUUGUAAUUUUACUGGUGUUGAUUCACAGGGUUUAACAUAUUUUGUUUGUUUAGGAAGCAAUACCAAUCCCUACAAAGUUUUAUUCAUUUAGCUGAGUCUCUUUAGUUGAUUAUGGAAUUGACUCAAUCAGAUAAUAAUAGUUUCUAGGUUCCUCUAAUUCCUUAAAAAUAAAUUGAGGUGCACUACUUAGCGAGUUUUCGUGGCCCUCGCAAACUUAAACAUACGAAAUUGCUUUAGGCCUCUUAGUUAAAUAAUGUAUCCUCCUAAUUACACGUGUGCAUAUAUGUGACCCAAAUUCAAAUCCCAUUGAUGUUAAAAUAUGUCAAAAGCCACGAGUACAUUUAUGUGACGUGGCUCGAGACGUGUUUUGAUAAUGUUGCAAUCUUCUUAAAAUUAAUAAAGCGGUUAAAAGUUAAAGUUGGCGCAUAGGUACAAAUACAUUAAAAUCAGAUAAUCAAGCCAAAUAUAGCAGUCGAGAGACUGUGCUGGAACCACGGAAUUCGGGAGUGCCUAACACCUUCUCCCCGGUUAACAGAUUUCUUACGCAGAUUUCUGGCUCGCAGACGGUAUACAGAGUCAAACUUUCCUCGAUUCGGGAUAUAAACCGGUGACUUAGGACACCAUUAACUAUCCCAAGUGGAGACUCUAAAAUUAUUGAAUAAAUAAAUCUUGUUUUGAUUGUCCUUUAAUUGGAAAAACUCUCUUACCUACAUCUUUCGCCAGGGUUGUGGGGUUAAAAGAAGGUGUGACAGCUCUGGCGACUCUGCUGGGGAUCGAACCUAAAAUCUCUUGUUCAGGGUUCAAGAAUUCAAGCUUUAAAUAAUUUUCAUAUCCUGCUUUAUUAUUAUCUGGUUUUAUUGCAUAAUUGUUCCCGAUGUGCUAAAUGUUGUUUUUACAGAUUUAAUAUUAUUUGAACUGUGUAUACACGGCGACAACCCUUCUCUUCUCAUCUUCAGGGAUGUGCUCGCUGGUCGAGACUCCCCAGUCUGUUAGUGUCAUACCUUAAAAUAAGAAAGAAUCUCGGACAAGUUACAAAGCCGGAUCCCGCUCUGGUACACAGUAUAGAAUAUAUACCCACGUUUUAAACGUAGAAUAACUUAACCUCUUGCCGGAUCCCUAGUAGGAAUGCUUCUUCUCAUCAUGAAUUUGACUUAGGGGACUCAACACAAGGGUUGGGUCUGUCUAGGACAGGUGCACCCAAAAUAGUCGACCAUCCUAAUGCAUUUUGCAUGUUACUAGUGCAUUUAUUCUGGAUUUUGCAUGCUGACCGGCUCAUGAAUAUUGGGGAAACGUUGAGCGAAGAGAAAUAGUAGUAUGAGGGUAAAGAGAGUUAAUUUCCUAUUUUGGAAAAACCAAUGUCCAAGUAAUGCCGAAACUCUGCCAAAUCUUUUAGAAAAAUUAAAAAGAGAAGAAAAGGGAGAAGAGUUUUGUUUUCAAAAAUAGUUUGUUCUAUUUUCCAAUGGAAAAGAAAAAAAGCGAGUCUUGUUUUCAAAAAUAGUUUGUUUUGUUGUCAAUAAAAAAGAAAAAAAAGUCGUGUUUUCAAAAAUAGUUUUAUCUGCCCAAACUACGCCUGUUUGAUUCUCACAGGGUUUGAGAUACGUAAGCAACCCCCAUCGAGCCCAACUUCGUUUUUACAAAAAUAGCAAAGAAAAAGAACCAGGUCUUGUUUGUGACUAGUAAAUAAAGUAGUUUUGGUCAAAAUUAAACGAGUGUCCCUAAAGGGGCGCCGAAAGGCUAUUUUUGCAAGAACAACUGCCUUGGAUUAUUUUUUAAUAUUUUGGCCGGUAGUAGGCAUAACUUUAAAAUCUUCCCCAGGAAAUGCUGAAAAGUUGUACUUACAAGGCCAGGGUUUCAUUUUUGAAAUGAAAAUUUGAAAAUUCCUUGUUUUAAGCCCAAUAAAUCUUGAUUUGUUUUGAUUAAUCGCCUUAAUAAAUCUGCAGCAUGAGCACAAAUCAAAGUUUGCCAAUCUCAGUCAUGAACAAGAUCCCUUUGGAGGUACGCAUGUGGUGGAAUGAUCUAGGUGAAGCGAGGCAAAACAGGGUCAACACACACUUGGGAGGGCUUACCGGCUUGUUGAAAAUUAAUACUAGAGGAGAUAUCAUAAAAGCAUUGGUAACAUUCUGGGAUCUGGCCCACAACGUAUUUCAUUUCUCAGACUUUGAACUUACUCCGAUCCUAGAAGGAAUAACUUGAUAUAUUGAUACAUUGAGGUUCCCACAAUUCCUUUGAGGCACCAGUAUUUGGUUGCACAAAGGGCCAUCGCCGUACACAAAUUCUUGGACUCAUUAAUGAUUAGCAGGAAGGUCCACAAUCCAGACCUAUCAGCCGGCUUUUAUACUCCACAGUUUAUAUAUCGGAGGUAUGGAAACAUAGGGGAAUUUAAUGACCCGAAAAAUAAUAUUUGUAGCAAGGGAAAUCGACUUAAAUGGGAGGAACACCGGUGUUUCACAUAUAUGGUAUUCUUCUUACGCCUUUUGGUGUUUCCAUGGAAGGACGGAAAUAUUGAUAUACGGUUAGAAGGGGUUGUCAGCACUUUAAUUACUCAAGCCAAGAGCACUCUCUCACCUAUGGUAUUAUCUGAAAUUUUCCGUGCCCUCACAGCUUGUAACGUAGGGGGAGACUUUUUCGAAUGAUGCAACCUGUUGUUACAAAUAUGGAUUAUUGAACACUUGUUCCAUCGACCUCAAUUCAUGAGUUAUGGGUCGUCAGCAAAAAGCUGCAUAGAGGAAUUUUACAAUAGGAUUGAUGGGCUUAGAUUACCAGAGGGUGCUACACAAUGGGUAUCACGUCUCCGUGCCAUAAGUGCAAACCAAAUAGAGUGGACGUUUGGGUGGCUUACCAUGAUGAAAUCAUAUAUAUUGCCAGCCACCAGACCUCAUUUCUUUCUGAUGGGUCUCCAGAGUAUCCAACCCUAUGCUCCGUACAUAGUGUUAAGACAAUUAGGGAGGUGCCAAAUGAUUCUCAGAGAUGAGGACAUUAGUCGCCACGUGGUCGAUAUUAGUUCCAAUUGUCAGUUUUCAGAAGCAGCAGUCCGUCAAAUUUAGAGCGAAUGUCAAUACUUGACAGCGGACACUCGAGUACACGACUCAUCUAAAGGCGAGGUUGCACCAGGGUACCUUGCUUGGUAUAAGAAAGAAAUAGAUUUCGGAAGUCCGCCUAAGAGGCCACAUCUCCAAGAAUUUGUUGAGGCAUCACAAGAACAAUGGAAUAGGUUAGCCAAGGAAAACGAAUACAUGGCCACGAUAGGGAAAUUGGAAAAGCAAGUCAAAGACAUUCAAUUCAAAAAUGGUUGGCUAGCUGCUGUAGACGAGGGUGAAAAUAAAAGACUAGCCAAAGAAAAUGAAGCGUUGCGAGCCCAAAUUCAGAGAAUGAAAAUAGCCACGGAGAAUCCCUCCAUGAGCUUGAAGGAUGAAAAGCACAUAGACAAUUUAAGGAAAAAAGUAGCAGAAUAUGGUUUUGACUUGAAUAAAGCAGACGGUGAGCUGUCCAGGGAUCGAAAAACAUUGCCCAAAAAUGCAGAGGAACGAGACCGCAUGAUUGAACAAUUAAAAUAAAGGCACGACAAUGAGGUUGUUGGGUUGAAGAGGAAGGUCAUCAUGGUUGAAAACAAAAUAGCCAAGCAAGCCAGGCACUUCAAGGCUAAGAGAGAAUAUUGUUACGCAGCAAUAGCAUGAUUGGAAGGAGUUUGGAGCAAUUCCAAGAACUGAAUCGUGUAGCCCACCGAACUUUGGCGGCAAGGGCCCAGCAAAUUGGACGAUUGCUGAAAGAAAAGGGUGCUAUAAUAGAGAGGGUACGUAUGAUCACUGACUACAUCACCACAAAGUGUAAUCACUUGCGAAGAUAUGACAAGAUCUAUAUUCUUUGCCACCGCCAUGAUCUUUGUUCAUCAAGUAAUGGAAGACCUCCACCACCUCUAAGGGGAUUUAGCACGCAAUCCUGUGGCAAGACCAAAUGAUGUCCCCCGGGCCCCAGAAGCAUUAGAGACUUUAAUGUAUUCAUGUUCAUAAUAGGUUGUCAAGUUAGUUAUUUUCAUUUUAAGUCGGAACGUGUUGUUUCCAGUUGAGUCGGAGUUUGUUAAUUUCUUUUAGUAAGUUGUAAUCAAGUGAUUUACUUUAUGAAAAUUGAAGAAAGUAUUUUUAAAAUAUUUCCUGUAUUUAUUUUCCAAAAUUACGCACGGUCUGAUUCGUGCGGGGUCAUGAUACGUAGGCAAUCCACAUAGGAUUCGACCACAACUAAAAUAAAAGGGGAAAAGAAGGGAAUAUCACAAAUGAAGCAGCAGUAAAACAACAGAGAGAAUAAUAAAAGCAAAACAAGAUGAGAAAAGGAGAGGGGAAAAAGGAAAACCAAGAGAGAAAAGAAAAGUGGCAUAGAGUAAAAGUCGGGAUGAUGCAAGCAACCAACUAGUGCAUAAUAGAAAUCGAUAACUGCGGUUAGGUGCAUUGCACAUAAAAUGAAAUUAUCCUGUGUUAAUGCUAGCGUGAUGGCUUCAUUUUGUUUUGUUCGUACCAGAAGGGUGGUUGGUUUGUGGCUUUUUGAAGUGGUAACUCUUCUCUACAACAUAAAGCCAAAGACAACGACAACCAACAACAGAACUGAGUUGGCUGAUACCGGUGCCCCAAAGCAGCUGGUUAAAUGGGAAAACGUGUUGGUUGAAGAAUUAAACAUGUUAAGACAACACAUGGAGGAUAUGCAUCAGGCUUGGAUAAUCGGGAAGGCACCACCCCCGCCACCCCCAGGCUUGUUAGAUGCUCCCUUUACCCAAACUCUGGCCCUCUUCUAACACCCCGAUAGCUCCAUCUCUCACCAUAAUGAAUACCCACUAAAAGCUCAUGAUGCCCAAUAUUACCUCUCAAAGGUUGCCCGCAAGAAGAACCUUCAGGAUAAGCUUCAUGCUGAAAAUGAAAAGGUUACAGAAAAAGAAGGCGAGAGGAGAUAUUUGGGAAGCUGAAAAGCACAGAACAGUCAUUAAAGAACAUGCAAGGGAAGGGAGACCAGGGUAGCAUGAAUUACAAAGCACUGUCAGUGUUCCCCUACAUUCGUCUGCCCGGGGAAUUUCAAGCACCAAAAUUUAAAUUAUAUAAUGGGUUUGGAGAUUAGAUAGCCUACUUGAAGUUUUAUUACAAUGAUAUGAGCAGUGUUGGUGCGAGGGACGACUUGUUGACUGCAUAUUUCAGUAAGAGCUUGACUAUGGCAGUUCUAGAAUGGUAUAAUUGUCAAGAUGUUGGUAAGUGGCAUACAUGAGAUGAUAUGGCUCAAGGUUUGGUGCGACACUUUCAGCACGAUAUAGACAUUGUCCCAGACCGUUCCUCCCCACCUCAUAUGGAAAUGAAACUCAAGGAGAGCAUUAUGGACCUUUGGCUCAGGUGGAACGAACAAGUUACUCGGGAUAGUCAUCCCGUCGAGAGAAAAGAUAUUGUUGAGCCCUGCCGAUGACAGGGUCCAGUAGUCAUCCUUGCUAAACGCAUUCAGCCUCAACAGCGGCCCCAUAGACAUCCUGGUACACCAGAUGACCUUCCCUAAUACUACCUUUCUCCACAGAACCCUCGGAGUCGUGCUUCAUUUUCCCAGUAUCCUGUCUGCAAUACACCACCAUAUGCUCCACACCCACGAGGCUCGCGAUGGCCCGCACCACUACCCUAUAUGUCUUACCGGCCCUCUCAGGCAUGUCAACCACCUGCCCACAAAAUAUUCCAACCAAACCAAAGUGUAAAAUGAAAAGACUACUGAAAAAAGAUAAUGCUUUCACACUCUUUAGAGAAUCCUAUACAAGCUUGUUCGAAAAAUUAAGCAUGCCGACCUUAUUAAGUCGCUCCUCGGCUAUACUCCAGACCCAUAUGCAAAAGGCUUUGAUCUCGCUGUUCGAUACAUGUACCACAUUAAUGUCCAGGGGCAUAGCAUUGAGGAUUGUCAUUCUUUGAAAAGGAAAAUAGAAAGAAUGAUUCAAGAGGGGUAAUUGUUGUCAAUGACAGUGACAGGGAGCAUGAAAAUCCUCUCGGGAACUUGGUGAUUAAACUCAGUAGCCAAGAUGCCGGGCUUCGUGAUUGGGAAGACGCUCCAUUUCUUGGUCAGCUAGAGUGAAGUUCUGGUGGUUUAUUUCGUUGUUAUGUCUAUUGUCCGGAUUGUUGCAGGGUUGUAAUCCAGGCAUUGUCUUGUGACUCAAACCCUUCUAUCCUUUCAUUUUGCAUAGUUUGUUUAGUCGUAGUAGCUUGUUUAGUGUUGUAGAGUUUGUUCUAGGUUUGGAACCUCAAUUUAGUCUUCUUGUUACCUUUCAAACCAUUUCACCAUAUGUCUAAUGCAACUCUCUGUCUUUUGUUAUUUCUAGUUGUUCUGGUUCAGUUCCUUUUCUCUUUUAGUCCUUUUCCUGUUGACUCUAGUGACCUGACAUGCACACGCAAUUCUCACCCUGGUUUUAAAUAAGUUAGCUCAAUCAUGAAGCAAUGAAGAAGACGAUAUGGACAUUCGAGGGAAAUAAAUAGAGAGAUUUUGAGAUCAUCUGAAUCCCUAACCAUGUGAAAUUGGGGCAGAUAAAGCAUAAGGACACCUGAUUGAAAUGCAGAGGCUGUUCACCGUAACGAGAGUAUUGUCCAAUGGACCUUGGUAUUUGACAGAUAAAGAAGGAAAAUGGUAUAAAUGGUUAUCAGCUCUGAUAUAGUUAAAAUAUAUUAUGUACGACUUCUUUGCUUAAGUUGUGGCUGUUUGUACUUUGCACGUUUUGGAGAUUGAAAUGGAGAAGGCAUUUUAUUCGGCUAUCUAAACAUUCUAUCAUUUGCUAACCCUUUUGAGCUUUAAUUAUUUUCUUUCAUACCCCUCUUUUGGAAUUAGUAACAAAUUCAGAAAAGCAAGUGUAAAAAUAAGUAAAAGAAAAGACCAGGGAAGAAUGAAAAGAAAGAAAGAGGAAAAAGAAGGAAGAAGAAGAGAAGAGAAAAAAAAAGAAAAGGAAAGAAUAAAGAAGAAAAGAAAAUAAAAAGAGAAAAAUAAAAGAGGGAAAGAAAAAAAAGAAAAGAGAGAGAAGGGAAAAACCCACAAAACAAAAAAACAACAAAAGAAAAAAAUGAAGAAACAGAAUAAGGAAAGGAAAAAAAGAGAAGACCACAAAAAACAAGGAAUCAACAUAAAACUACGUUUGACCUGAUUCUCUUUUAAGGAUAUGUAGGCAACAUCAUGGUUCGGUCCCAUCAAAAUAAAAUUCAAAAGUCCCCAAGCAAAGAAACAGGGACGGAAGUUGUGGUUGUUGUAAGAAAUCUGAUUCCGAAAGUUGUAAUUUUGAACUCAUUUGAAUUGUUUUGAGCCUUUAAUACCCUUUCUUUCAAACCCUAUCCAAAAGCCCACGUUACGGUCCAAAGAAAGGCUUUCUGAUCAGUCUUCAAGAAAUGCCAAGUCAAGUAAGAAGAGGUGAUGCACAUCAAGGGCAACCCUCUGUGACAAGCAAGAAAGUGAUGAAAAAUGAGAGAGUCUUAUUGCUGAAAACCCUCAGGGGCACCAUAAGGCGACAAUGAGAUUGAGAGAAAGCCCAAAAUGAGAGAGUCUUGAUAGUGAAAAUCCUACGGGCACUACGAGUCGAAUAAGGAUUGAGAAUCAGCCACCAGAUGGAGAUUGUGAACGAUGACUAACAACGGAGCAUCGAAGCCCAGUUUCAUGGCUAAGAGUAUAGCAGGAGCUGAACAUCAAAUUUGCUUGAUAGGAUGGACCGCAGGCGCAUGUCAGGAUCAUUAGAGUCGGUAUCCACAUCUGAUAGGUUUCUACUUCGCAGUUUUUCUGUUAGGAAUCAUCUCUUUGUUCUUUUCUUGUUUACUUUUUCUUCUUGAGUCUGUUGAGUUGAACUAGUAAGAAAUGACUUCAAAAUUUUCCAUGAGCUUUUCAAUUGCACAAAGCGGGAUAUGGUCAGCACAUCAAAGUAUUGUAAGUCCGGAAAUAACAACAAGUGCUCUGAAUUGGUAACUUUGGAAUUCACGUGGAAUAUAAAGGCUUGCUAUAUAUCAAUUCAUGGACAGUGCAACAGAAAGAGGGCUAGGGUGAACGGAUCAAAGGUGUUUUCCGUGAUGAGAUUGACAAAAAGGGUGGUAAACCAGUGACAAGCAAGAUCUUCCAAGAAGAAAUCAAAGUUAUCAUGGCUAGCUAUGGAGCAAUAGACCUCAAGUCCAGAGCCAGUGAUUUGAGUCAAGAAAGAACAUCAUACACACUGAGGUUGGUAACAAUUAAUAUACUUUGGGGAUCAUGUGAGACACAAAGGUUUGGUAGAUGCCGAUUCAGGAGCAAUGCAACAGAUAGAAGGUAUUGGGUUUGAACAAGAAGAGGUAUUUUUUGGGUUAAGGUUUACAAAGGAAGUGGUUAGUCAAGGAACAAGCAGGGUCUUCGAAUGAAAAUCAGUUAUCAUGACAAGUGAAGGAGCAACAGCUAUCAAGGUCAAGGCCAGUAUUUUAAGUCAAUAAAUAACAUCAUACGCACGAAGUGGGGCAAUGGACGUGCUUUGUGAUUCAUGAGAGACACAAAGGUUAGGUAGAUGUCAGUUCAUGAGAAAUGCAACAAGUAGAGGAUAUUGGGUCUAAAUGGAGAAGAGGUAUUUUCUGUAACAAUGGUGACAGAGAAAUUGGUUAGUCAAUAAGCAAGCAAUGUCUUUCAAGGUGAAAUCAAAGUUACCAUGGCAAGUGAAGGAGCACAACACAAAGAUGGGAAAGUCCACAUGGGUUCAGGGGUCAGCCAAGCAUAGUAAACAGACUAGGUAAUCUAAGGAAAGAUGAAAGAAUUCUGGCAAAAGGGUCAAAAGUACCAUAGAAAAAGAGGGGAGCAAAGUAAAGCCACAAGGUUUCAGGGGUCAGCCAAGCAUCGUAAACUGACUUGUUGAUCUCAGGAAAGAUGUAAGAGUUCUGGAAAAAGGGUCAGAAGCGCAACACAAAAAUAGGGGAGCAGAGUAAAGCCACAAGGUUUCAGGGGUCAACCGAUCAUAGUACACUGACUCGGUAAUCUCAGGAAAUAUGUAAGAAUUCUAGCAAAAGGGGUUAGGAGUGCAAUGCAAUAAUAAGGGAGCAAAGUAAGGCCAUAGGGCUCAAGGGUUAGCCGAGCAACUCAUCCUCAAGUGCGGAAAGUUAAACACAACGGAACGAGACAGUAGGGAGGCCAGUUUCAACAAGAACGCCGCAAGCUGACCACCACUUUUCAAACUAACAAAACUUUCUUUUAUUGACACAGGGGCAUAAAUUUCGGGAAAUACUAGGGGAAGGCAAGCACAUGGCAGGUAUGAUCGAAAAUCUCAGGAACCUCCUGGAAAAUGGGACUCAGUAAAAUUCAACAAGGAACAUAAUCUGACAUAAAUAUUCUCCCCCGCAAGAGUCGUCAGGACCCGUCUGAAUAAUGGGACAAAACUUUAACUAGAAAGCCCCAGCAGAGAUAACUGAAAGUUAGAAUUGGCAUUUAAUCUGGAACUCUCGGGACCCUCCUGGAAAAUGGGACCAAUGUAAAGGUUGGAUGUGAUCUUUAAUAGCAAAGAGCAUAGGGUGACUUGCAUGUGGAAUAGGGUUCAGAUAAGAGUUGUCAAGACCCUCAUGGAGAAUGGGACUUAACUUAAAAUUCAAACAGUCUGGUGGAAUGGUCAUGCCCAAAUAUUUCCCCACCAAAAGUCGUCACGGACCCGCCCGGAUAAUGGGAUUCGAUUGUAGGAGUUGUCAAGACCCUCCUGGAUAAUGAGAUGCAGAUCUAAUUACUAAUCCCCAGCGGACACAAUAUUUCAUCUAAUUAAGAUUUGUCAGGACCCGUAUGGAUAAUGGGAAAUAGCUUUAAUCACCGGUCCCCAGUAGAUCCCGAGAAGAUAUAACUCAGAGAACAAAACAUAGUGAAAUAUAAUACCUUUUGAGAAAAAUAACCUAAUCUUAAAGUUGCCAUUAGUUAAGAGUUGUCGGGACCUCUCCUGAAUAAUGGGAUUUAACUUUUAGAUUUUAGAAAUAGUUGAUAAUGGGAUUUGAUUAACACUCACAGAUGCACCCAGCACCAAACUGGGGCAGAAAAGAACUCCUUUGUUUCGUUUGUUUUGUUAUGUUCAGAUACAAAGGCAAUGGUCUCAGGGAAUACUUUUUCAAGUUGCAAGUUUUGGUAAUCGGGCGCCCACCUGGAGAACAAGGAAAUAUUUUUCAAGUUGCAAGUUUUGGUAAUUAGGGGCCCACUUGGAUAACAAGGAAUACUUUUCAAGUUUCAAGUUUUGGUAAUCAGGCGCCCAUCUAGAGAACAAAGGGAAUAUUUUUCAAGUUUCAAGUUUUGGUAAUUAGAUGUCCACCUGGAGAACAAGGGAAUACUUUUCAAGUUGCAUGUUUUGGUAAUCUGGCGCCCCACCGGGAGAACAAGGGAAUACUUUUCAAAUUUUAAGUUUUGGUAAUCAGGCGCCCACCUGGUAAAAAGGGAAUACUUUUCAAAUUUCAUGUUUUGGUAAUCAGGCGCCCACCUGGAGAUCAAGGGAAUAUUUUUCAAGUUUCAAGUUUUAGUAAUCAGGCGCCCACCCAUAGAACAAAGGACUACAAUUCAAAUCCAACAACCAAGCAUCAACAUGGAGAAAAAGAAACGUAGCAAUAGGGGGACAAGAAGUUUCACAGAAGAAAGUACAGCGAGACAACAAGAAAUUUCUCAGGGAGAUACACAAAGCAACAAGGCAACAAAGAUCAAGAGCAAGUUUCAACACAUAGAUAGGUUCUCUUGUAAUUCAUAGUUCAUAGCUUAGUCUAGCUUCUUUAUUUUCACAAGGUAUAAUAAGGGGGUCUAGCAAGUAGUAGUAGCAGCAGAAGCAACAGUGAGGUCACGGCUUCGGUAGCCCCAGCUACCAAACAAUCCGUAACUGCACUGACCUAAUUUCUCUUUAGCUGAGGAUUUGUAUGCAACCUCUGACGCAGGGUACGGUCAAGCUUUUCAAACGCUUCUAACGGAGUAUUCAAGCAGGCAAAAAUUGCUCGUGUCCGUUGUCACGACUCAUUUUCUGAACAAGCCGAGACCGGUACUCAAUCACUAAACAUGACCGAGCGAACCAUCUCUGCUUAUCAAACCUAUUACAACUUCAAAUUUUAUAUGCAAAAGAAAAUAAUACUCUAACCGAAUACUUUCGAUUAAUUUAAAUAUUUUAAUAAAUCAACUCCAAGACUUUAUUUGUACUACUGAAUUACUGCUAAGUUACAAUAAAAUAACAUCUUAAUCUCAACCCAAUGACUAUGUCUAUGAAGCCUCUAGUAAUAAACUGACGCACUGCUUAGGACAUGCAAUUUCCUGGCCAGUUCUCUAAGUAAACAAAGAAAUAACUAAAUAAAGAUGACUCAGAAGAAUACUCCACGAACAAAAGUGGAGCUCACCAAUAGCACUGGAAGGGAAUGAAGUCCUAACUCGUAUCCUCCUCGCCUGCAAAUCCGACUCGUACGUUGUACCAUAGACCAACGUAGGUUCCCAAAAUAGAACGGCAGUACAAUCCAUCACAAUCAAUGAGUCUUAACAACAUGGACGAAACUUUUAUAACAUAUACAUUAUGAGAAAAGGUUCUAAAUGCAUGUAACUCACAAAGCUUAUAAGAAUAAUUCUAAAUAAUUGCAUAAUAGCAGUUUAUGAAUAUUUUAAAAGAAAUUCUUUUCUUUUUUUCUUUCUUAUAAAAAUAAAUAAAUAUACUUCAUUUUAUACUUUGGGAGUUCCAACUAUCCUGACUUAAUUCUGUCUCAGGCACCGUGUGAUCGGCACGGGUUCGAUCCCAACCUGAUCGAAUAUGCCCAAUCCACGAGGUGCCACUCGUUUCAUGGUUCUCCGCGCUCAUAUGUCAUACCUUAGCAUGGCUAAGUAUAUUCUCAGCAACGAGACCCUCGGUUCAUGUGCUCCCUACUUUGGCACAAGUAGUUUUAGGAAGUCAACGCCUUGGUCAGGACCCUCGGCUUGUACGAUGACCCCUUCUCAGAAUAAAGGAUACUCCCGAAAAUCUUUUCUUUCUAAAACUUCUUCUUGUGAAUUAUCAAGUCUAAAUCUUUUAUUUAUAGAAUAUCAUGUACAUAAUCAUGCUGGUAUCCUUAAAUGUAAAGCAUGUCAUAAGAAUGAAAUAAACAUGUAAAAGUAUUUCUAAAAAUUCUUUCAUAUUCAUAAACUUUAAACAUGAAAAUAACAUAUAAGAAUAACCUAAAAUUCUGAAAAUUUAAGCACAUAUAUCAUAAUAAGUCAUCUAAAAAUCUGAUCUUUGACUUCCUAUACACAUCUUACAAAAUAACAAACCAUUCCGCCUGAUUAAAAUUUCAACAUAAACACUUGGAAAUCCCUCUAUUUUCCAUGUAAAAUAAGAUUACACUAAAUUUAUACUUACAAGACUAGAAGAUGCAUCAGGAAUGGAGUUGCUCCCAUUAGGCGCGAGAACACUAAAUUUUGCUAGAACAAUUUUAAGUUAAUAAGUACUCACUCGCUUCAAUUAAGUAAAUAUAAACUCUUUUAAGAAAUUCAUCAAACACCUUGUAUGCGUGCUUUUGUGAGUUAAACCACUUUAAUAAAGGGGUAUAUCAACUCACCUCAAACCUUCUCGAGUCAAUAUGCAGGCCCCAGUCCAAUUGAUACCAAUCAAACAAUCGAUUCUAUAACAAUCCGUGCAUUUUUAUCAAUUUUAAAGUACUACACCUAAUUAUGAAAUAUAUUGAUAAUAUAGAGAAAGAAUGGAAUUAGCUAUUCAAUUCUUACCUAUUAUUAGUGUAGGGUAAUUGACAAUAGGGUAUUUUACAUACCUUAGUUCAAGAAUAAGGGAGUUAUGAAGAACCCUAGGAUUUCUUUUUUUUUCCGUUGCUUGCGUGCUCUAUUUCGACUGCGAACAAAACUUAGUGUUCUGUUUUUCGUCUAAGGCAAAAGUCUUCGACCUUUUUGGAAGAAUCAGAAUGUAUUUUGUUUCUCUUUAACGCUUAAAGCCUUUAUUUUCCAAUAGCCCUUUUAUGGGCUUUUAGUCCCAUUUCUCUCUUUUUUUGUUUUGUUAACAAAUAUCUUAAUAUACUUAUUUUUAACCAUUAAUAAUACUAAAAUUAUUAAUAUUUCCCUAAUUGCGCUGAUGGUAAGCAACCUCCACUUCCAAUCGAGAGGUUGUGAGUUCAAGUAUCCCCAAGAGCAAGGUGGGAAGUUCUUGGAUGGAAGGAUGUCGGGGGUCUGUUUGGAAACAACCUCUCUACCCAAGUGUAAGGGUAAGGUCUGCGUACAUACUACCCUCCCCAGACCCCAUUAAGUGGGAUUAUACUGGGUUUAUAAUUAGGUAUCUUGAAACUUUUAUAAAUUUGAUGAGUGUUACAAUCUUCCCUCCUUAAAUACAUUCAUCCUCGAAUGUUGCUAGGCCUUAUUCUUAAGCUAAAAACAAUUCUUUAGGUUCUUGAACCUCUUAAGUUGUUCUUAGCACUGCUGACUUUUCCAAGAGACUCAAAAUUUUGGCUAACUCCCUAAAGUUUCAAAAUUUUCGAUAGAGUUUCCCUUGUAAAUUGGACUAUCAAGAAAAAUAUCCUUGUCACAAAUACGGCAACUACACCAACAACAACCAAAUAUACCAUAACAGACCAUUCAUAGGCACCAUACGCCGCUCAUAAAUUAAUUACUCACACUCCGGCAAGGAGGUACCACAAUAACUAACAAGAAUCUAAAAUACCAUGAUAUGCCAUUCGUAGGCACCAUUCACAGCUCAUAAAGUAAUUACUCACACUCCGGCAACGAGGUAUCAUAAUAACCAACAAGAAUCUAAAGCACAACAACUUUAGCAAUAGUAAAUCACUUUAAUGAAUUAAAUAUACUCUGGCAUAAACUAAAUCACUACAACAAAUAAAUAUAAUCUAGGAAGGAGAUAAACACUUGCUAACUUGUAUUUAAUAAAAGAAAUAUAAAUGUCAAGUAGAACCAAGGUUCACAUACCUUGUUACUCAAAUAAAUAAGGAUACUUCUUCCUCAUAUCUACCUCGACCUCCCACGUAGCUUCUUUUGAAUCAUGAUUACUCCACAAAGCUUUUAUCGAUGCUAUAUCUUUUAUUCUCAAAUUCUUACUUGUCUAUCAAGAAUUUCUAUAGGUACCUCUUUCAUAAGUCAAAACUUUUACCAAUGCUAUAUCUUUUGUUCUCAACUUUCUUACUUCUAUUAAGAAUUUCUGUAAGUACCUCUUUAUAAGUCAAACCUUCUUUAAUUUCUAUGGUAUCAGCAGGUAUUAUAUGCGACUCAUCAUCAAUGUACUUUCUAAGCAUAGACACAUGAAUGACGGGGUGAACGGAGGACAACUCAAUGGGUAGUGUUAGCUUAUAAGUCACGUUUCCUUUCUUUUCUAGAAUUUCAUAAGGUCCGAUAAAUCUAGGACUAAGUUUCCCUUUCUUACCAAACCUCANNNNNNNNNNNNNNNNNNNNNNNNNNNNNNNNNNNNNNNNNNNNNNNNNNNNNNNNNNNNNNNNNNNNNNNNNNNNNNNNNNNNNNNNNNNNNNNNNNACUACCUCAUAACUCCUUUCAUUGGUGAAACUUUCAAAAACACAUUAUCACCAACCAUGAACUCUAACUCACGAUGCCUCUUGUCAGAGUAAGACUUUUGAAAACUCUGGGCCGCUUUAAUUAUUUCUCUAAUUAGCUGAACUUUCUUCAAAGCUUCACAAACAAACUCCGGACCAAUCAACGGCACCUUUACUGGUUCAAACCAACCCAACCGGAGACCUACAUCUCCGCCCAUACAACACUUCAUAAGGAGCCAUACCAAUGCUGGCCUGAUAGCUGUUAUUGUAAGCAAAUUCUAUAAGUGACAAGUGAUCAUCCCAAUUACCUUCAAAGUCUUUAACAGAUGAUCGCAUCAUAUCUUCGAGAGUCUGAAUGGUCCUUUUUGCUUGGUCAUCGGUUUGUGGAUGGAAAGCGGUACUCAAAUUUGGAUCAUCCCAAUCCUCCAAAAUCUAUAGCACACACAUGCAACAUAUCUUCGAGAGUCUAAUUGGUCCUUUCUGCCUGGCCAUCGGUCUGUGGAGGAAAAGCGGUGUGUAAUUUGACCUUGGUACCUAAUCUUUUCUGAAAUGCCUGCCAACAAUGCGCCGUGAACUGAGGGCAUCUAUCAUAUAUGAUUGAAAUUGGAGUACCUUGCAAUCAGACUAUAUCAUUGAUGUACAACUGCGCAUACUGCUAUGCGGAGUCUGUCGUCUUUAUUGGUAGGAAAUGCUCGGACUUUGUCAAUUGGUCUACAAUAACCCAAAUUGAAUCAUGUUUACGGUAUGUGCGAGGUAGACCUACUACGAAAUCCAUAUUAAUCAUCUCCCACUUCCAUUAUGGUAUCUCUAAGUCUUUCUAGGACACCGGGCCUCUGAUAAUUGGCUUUAACUUGCUGAAAAUUUAAACAUUUAGCCACAUGAUCUGCUACUUGUUUCUUCAUGCCUUUCCACCCAUACAACUCUUUCAAAUCUACAUACAUUUUGGUAGCACCUGGGUGGAUAGAGUACCUCAAGCUGUGAGCUUCCUCCAUUAUGGCCUUCCUUAGACCAUCUACAUCAGGCACACAUAACCGAUCAUUCAACUUCAAAACUCCGUCACUUCCUAGAGUGAACACAAUGAUCUCUUUGCUUCUGACUCCUUCUUUUAAUUUUACUAAGUACGGAUCUUCAUCUUGCUUAGACUUAACAUGUGCAACAAGGGAGGAUUGCGCUAAGUCAUAAGCAGUCAUAUCUCCUUCUUUGGUCAAUCCAAUCUAAUUCCAUCAUUUGCUACUUUUUGAAUUUCUCGACCCAAAGAUCGCCUUUGUACUGCAAGAUGUGACUUUCUACUAAGUCCAUCUGCUACCACAUUAGCUUUGCAUGGGUGAUAAAGGAUAUUGAUGUCAUAAUCUUUUAAUAUCUCUAACCACCUUCUCUAUCUCAAAUUUAGUUCUUUUUGCUUGAAAAUGUACGUGAGGCUUUUGUGGUCUAUAAACACAUCAGAAUGCUCGCCAUAAAGGUAGUGUCUCCAUAUUUUUAAUGCAAACACCACUGUUGCAAGCUCCAAGUCGUGUGAGGGGUAGUUCUUUUCAUGAUUCUUUAACUAACUAGAAGCAUAAGCAAUAACUUUUCCAUUUUGUAUAAGAACACAACAAAGGCCCACCCUGGAGGCAUCACAAUACACUGUGAACCCACCCGAACUUGUCAGUCAGGUUAACACAGGUGCAGUGGUUAACCUCUUCUUUAAUUCUUGAAAACUCUGCUCACAAGCGCCUGACCAUUGGAACAACUGCUUUCUGAGUCAACUUAGUUAAUGGAGCUUCAAGUAAGGAAAACCCCUCCAUAAACUUUCUAUAGUAGCCAUCUAACCCCAAAAAACUCCUGAUUUUGGUUGGCAUUGCCGGCCGAGGCCAGUUCUUGGCUGCUUCUAUCUUCUAAGGGUCUACUUUUAUUCCUUCACUAGAUACCAUGUGGCCUAAGAAUGCCACUGACUGCAACCAGAACUCACAUUUCGAAAACUUGGCAUAAAGCUCAUUCUCCUUUAAGGUCUGCAACGCUAUCCUGAGGUGUUCUGCAUGAUCUUCCUUGCUCUUAGAGUGCACCAAAAUAUCGUCUAUAACAAGGCUAUUCUGAGGUGUUCUGAAUGAUCUUCCUUGGUCUUAAAGUACACCAAAAUAUCAUCUAUAAAAACAAUAAUAAAGGUAUCCAUGAAUGGCUUGAAAACUCUGCUCAUGAGGUCCAUGAAUGCAGCUAGAGCAUUUGUCAGCCCGAAGGACUUCACUAGAAAUUCAUAGUGUCUGUAGCGAGUUCUAAAGGCUGUUUUAGAUAUAUCCUCUAUUCUGAUUCUCAACUGAUGGUAUCCCGACCUCAAGUCUAUUUUUGAAAAGUACUUUGCACCUGAAUUUGAUCCAAUAAAUCAUCAACUCUUGGCAAUGGGUACUUGUCCUUAAUGGUAACUUUAUUAAAUUGUCGAUAGUCGACACACAUUGUGAGAACACCAAACAGGAGCGAGGCACCCCACGGUGAAACACUCGGCCUGAUGAAGCCCUUGUAUAGAAGGUCUUUCAACUGUUCUCUCAACUUACUAAGUUCUGCUAGAGCCAUCCUAUAAGGAGGUAUAGAUAUCGACUGAGUUCCUGGCAUGAGAUCAAUGCCAAAGUCUAUGAUUCUUUCGGUAGGAAUUUCGGGAAGUUCAUCUGGGGAAACUUCUGGAAAUUCUCUAACAACUGGCACUGCCCGAAGAGCUGGUAGUUCUGAUUCUGGAUUAAUGAUGUGAGACAAAUAGGCAAGACACCCUUUACCGAUCAUUCGUUGUGCCUUAAGGUAAGAAAUAAACGUACCUACAAGCGAUGCUGAACUACCCUUCCACUCUAAAACCUCUUCAUUUGGAAAUUGGAACCUGACUAUCUUGGCAUGACAAUUUAACAUGGCAUAGCAGGAAGACAGUCAAUCCAUACCCAUGAUCACAUCAAAAUCCACCAUUUCUAACUCUAUGAGAUCGGCUUUGGUGUUACGACCUUGCACUGAAACUAUACAACCUCUAUAGACUCUGGUGACUUUCACUGACUCCGCAAUUGGAAUCUACUAGGAAUGGCUCACUAAGUUGUUCAAGUUCUGGUCCGAGAUUAAUUACAAAGUAUGGAGUCACAUAUGAAAACGUUGAACCUGGAUCCAUUAUGGCAUAAACAUUAUGUGAGCAGACUAAAAGUAUACCUGAGUACCUCAUACUCCCACUAGUUAAUUUGGAUUCUUUCUUUAUAUAGGGGGUUCCUUUUUGUUUAAUGCAUUGAACUUUAUCCACUAUAUCUUACUUAAUAAUAACUUCUGCAAAUGCCUUUACACUUUGACGAUCAAGUGAAGCAAACAAAUAGGGUUGUCCCCCUCCCUGAGUAACUCAGUUUGCACCUCUUCCUGCUCCAUGUCCGGUCUCAUUAUGAGAACCACGAGCCUGAGGUGGUGCAACUGCAGUAGCUGAGGAACUAGAAGGAUGAGUUGAUCUACCACUGAAAUUACGUCACAACUUUGGGCAGUUGGCCUUUAUAUGACCAAUGUCUCCACAAUGGUAGCAACUAUGAAACCCGAGCUUACACUGGCAUGAAUGUUUCCGCUUACAUGUUCCACAAAUACCUUGCUUGUGUGAAUGAUGCUCAGCAUGACUCUGGCUAUGUGAGGACGAUGUCCUAAAAUUCUGAUUGUGGCGACACUAAUUUCCAUAACUCUGAGUUUGUCUGAAGAAAGACCCACCACCUGAUUGAUGACUACACUUAACUGGUGCUAAUGACUCCUUAUUAGAGGAAUCCCUUCCACCUCCGCUGGAUGUACCAUUCAACGUGUCCUUGUCCGAGCUUUCUUGUUAUGCUCUUUCUCUUCUAUCCUUUGUCGUUUGUCUUUUUCUACGUGCUUGGCGAACCCCACAAUAGAUGAGAAAGCUGUCAUUCCUACCGCUGUAGCUGAUGUCGUAUCCUUAAUGUGGUAAACCAAACCGCCAACAAACCUGCGAAUCUUUGAUUUUUCUGUCUUAACCAUGUGAGGAGCAUGCUUAGCUAGCCUUAUGACUCCAUGUAGUAAUCUUGCACACUUUUAUUACCUAGCUUGAGCUGUUCGAACUAUGUAGCCUUAGCUACCAUAUCCUCUUCUGGCGUUAGCUAUGAAGGCCUCUUCAAAUUCUUCCCAAGUAGGUGGAUUGUCAUCUUCAUCUCUCUCCUUUUCCCACAUCUCAAACCAAGCGCCAGCCACAUCUCUAAGCUGGUAAGCAGCCAGCUCCACAACUUUGUCAUCAAAUGCUUUCAUCACUCGGAGGGCUUUCUUAACACCCUACAUCCAUAACAUUGGAUCUUCAUCAACUAUAGAACCAUGGAACACUGGAGGACUCAACUUCAAAAAUUCAUUCACUCUUGAGGACUCAGAAUUGUUCUGUCUAUUUUAUUGAGGUAGAAUCUUAUCUCUUCUCUCGUUCUGGUUGGCCAUAAAGGCUUUAACAUCUCCAUAGCAAUGUUAACUUCAUUGAACAUAUAACCUACCUCUGGGGAUAUAGUUGCUUGAGUCGGAGCUGCUGUUGGGGUUGGCAUUGGAUCUUAAGGUACUUGCUCAUCAUGCUCCACCCCUUAUUCAUGUUCAACCUGGGGACUUGAACCUCUUGUGGAUUUACUCUUUCUUUUCUGGGCUGAAGCCAUUUUAGUUCUACCUUGGGACACAAUAGUAGCAAGAGUUUCUUGAGCAGCAUCCUGAGUGUCGGUGUUAGAGUUGCAAGUACGAGCCAUUUCUGCGAGUUUUGGAGAAACGAAAACAUUAGAUAAUUUCUUAGAGGUAGGAUCUACUGCACGAUCUAAAGUAUGAAAAAUGAGAUUUUUCCUAAAUGCUUGUUGCCUCCUGUUUAUAAGUAUGGCGCACUUCAUACCCAUAAACAAGACUCUACUAACACGGCGUCAUAGACCCCUACUCCAUAAACCUGAGACUCUGAUACCAAGUUUGUCACGACGCAUUUUCUGAACAAGCCUAGACCGGCACUCGGUCACUAAAUAUGACCGAGCGAACCAUCUCUGCUUAUCAAACCUAUUACAACUACAAACUUUAUAUGAAAAAGAAAAUAAUACUCUAACCAAACACUUUCGAUUAAUUCAAAUAUUUAAAUAAAUCAACUCCAAGACUUUAUUUGUAAUAACUACUAAAUUACUGCUAAGUUACUAUAAAAUAACAUCUGAAUCUCAACCCAAUGACUAUGUCUAUAAAGCCUCUACUGAUAAACUGACGCACUGCUCAGGACAUGCAAUUUCCUGGCCAGUUCUCUAAGUAAACAAAGAAAUAACUAAUUAAAUAUGACUCAAAUGAAUACUCCACGAACAAAAGUGGAGCUCACCAAUAGCACUGGAAUGGAAGGAAGUCCUAACUCGUAGCUUGCUCGCCUGCAAAUCCGGUUCCUAUGUUGUACCGCAGACCAACGUAGGUUCCCCAAAGAGAACGUCAGUACCAUCCAUUGCACUUAGUAAGUCUCAACAACAGGGGUGAAAUAUUAAUAACAUAUACAUUAUGAGCAAAUGUUCUAAAUGCAUGUAACACACAAAGCUUAUAAGAAUAAUUCUAAAUAAUUGCGUAAUAGCAGUUAAUAAAUAUUCUAAAAGAAAUUCUUUUCUUUUUUUUCUUUCCUAUAAAGAUAAAUAAAUAUACUUCACUUUAUACUUGGGGAGUUCCAACUAUCCUGACUUAAUUUUGUCCCAGUCACCGUAUGAUCGGCACAGGUUCGAUCCCAACCUAAUCGAAUAGGCUCAAACCACGAGGUGCCACUCUCUUCAUGGUUCUUCGCGCUCAUGUGUCAUACCUUAGCAUGCUAAGUAAAUUCUCAGCAACGACACCUUCGGCUCGUAUGCUACCUGCUUUGGCACAAGUAGUUUCAGGAAGUCAACACCUUGGUCAGGACUCUUGGCAUGUACGAUGGCCCCUUCUCAAAAUAAAGGAUACUCCCGAAAAUCUUUUCUUUCUAAAACUUUUUCUUGUGACUUCUCAAGUCUAAAUCUUUUGUUUAUAUAAUACAUACUCAUGCUGGUAUCCUUAAAUGUAAAGCAGUCAUAAGAAUGAAUUAAACGUGUAAAAGUAUUUCUAAAAAGCCUUUCUUAUUCAUAAAUUUUAACAUGAAAAUAACAUAUAAGAAUAAGCCAAAAUUCUAAAAAUUUAAUGACAUAUAUCAUAGUAAGUCAUCUAAAAAUCUGAUCUUUGACUUCCUAUGCACAACUUACCCAAUAACAAACCAUUCCGCCUAAUUGAAAUUUUAACAGAAACACUUGGAAAUCCCUCUAUUCUCCAUGUAAAAUAAGAUUACACUAAAUUUAUACUUACAAGACUAGAAGAUGCAGCAGGAAUGGAGUUGCUUCCAUUAGGCGCGAGACACUAAAUUUUUCUAGAACAAUUUUAAGUUAAUAAGUACUCACUCACUCCAAUUAAGUAAAUAUAAACUCUUUUAAGAAAUUCAUCAAAAACCUUGUAUGCGUGCUUUUGUGAGUUAAACCACUUUAAUAAAGGGGUAUAUCAACUCACCUUAAAACUUCUCGAGCCAAUACGCAGGCCGCAGUCCAAUUGACAUCAAUCAAAAAAUUGAUUCUACAACAAACAGUGCAUUUUUAUUAAUUUUAAAGUACUACACCUAAUUAUGAAAUAUAUUAAUAAUAUAGAGAAAGAAUGGAAUUAGCUAUUCAAUGCUUACCUAUUAUUACUGUAGGGUAAUUGACAAUAGGAAAUUUUAUAUACCUGAAAUCAAGAAUAAGUAAGUUACGAAGAACCCUAGAAUUUCUUCUUUUUUUUCCGUUGCCGACGUGCUCUAUUUCGUGAGUGAACAGAACUUAGUGUUCUGUUUUCCGUCUAAGACAAAAGCCUUCGCCCUUUUUGGAAGAAUCAAGACGUGGGUUCUGUUUCUCUUUAAUGCUUAACGCCUUUAUUUUCCAAUAGCCUUUUAUGGGAUUUUAGUCCCCUUUCUCUUUCUUUUUUUUUUUUUUUGUUAACAUAUAUCUUAUUACACUUAUAAUAUCUUAUAAUACUUAUUUUUAACCAUUAAUAAUAUAAAAAUUAUUAAUAUUUCUCUAAUUGUAUAUCUAAUUAUGUAUAUAUACAUAUGUAUAUAUAUAUACAUACAUAUAUAUAUAUCUAUACAUACAUAUAUAUAUACAUACAUACAUAUAUAUAUAUAUAUAUACAGACAUAUAUAUAUAAUUAGCGUAUCUUGAAAUAUUUAUAAAUUUGAGGAGUGUUACAUUCGCUCCCUUAUCUUUGCAUGAAAAGUCUUCGUGUUUCCGGGUAAAGAGGGGCAGUAUUGAGCAUGAUUUUUGCCAUAUAUGUAUUACUUCCAUAAAUUAAAAAUAAAAUAAUUUUUUUUGUUUGAUUGCAAUUUGAAUUUUCGUUGCGUUUUCUGUCAAUGGUUUGAAUUUCUUUGUGCACAUUUAUUUUGUCUUAAUUAAUGGAAAUACCAAAAUAUGUGGCAUGUGCAUUUAGAAUUCAAUCUUGCUUUUUGAGAAUUAAGUAGUAAUUGGUUCAUUUUAUGAAAAAAGAAAAUUCAAAAAUAGUUUAAUUUGCAUUUUAAUUCUAAUUUUGAUAUUUAGGUGAUUUCUUUUCUUUUAAUUUUUCUUUAACUAAUUAUGAUAACUGUUACUUAUUAUUAAUUAGCAUCUCUUAUAGGUCAAUUGUUCAAUCAUUUUAUUUUAAUUUAGGAUUUUUAGCUUAAUUUUGAAAAUAAAAAAACAAAAAGAAAGAAAGGAAAAUAUAUCAAAAAAUUUGAUGCCCAAAUUAUAAAUAUUAGCAUGUCUUAUAGAUCAAUUGUGCAUUCAUUUUGUUUUCAUUUAGGAUUUUUAGUUUAAUUUUUAAAAAAAAGAGAGAAAGGAAAAUAAAACCUAAAAAUUUGAUGCCCAAAUUGGGCAAAUAUUCACCCAAACCCCACAGACCCAAGCCCAAGUCCCCUAACCCGGUCCGAUCUCCCUCAUAUAACCAAAUUGACGUCGCUUGGGCCACUUAAAUAAGAUGAUCCAUUCCUUUUGAUCACACGGUGAUGAAGCCAGCUAUGCUUCAUAUAUAAUGGUCUCAAACACCCCCACCCCCAAAAGAGACCUGGUACUUUGUCUCCCCAAACCCUAAAACACGCCACCGUCCCUCCAUCAUCCACCGGCGGCGAUUCUCCAAUGACUCCCAAACUUACGUAACCCCACCUCCUGACCUCCUCUAUCCAAAUCUGUAAUUCCCAUCCCUCGAAUACUAGCCAAACUCCUUGAAUAUUUGUUUGAAGGGGUGUCUGCUCCGUCGUGUGCGGAGGCACCGAUGUCAAUCGACCCCAAAAGAACACCAAACACUCCCCUCACCUUCCUCACUCCGAAUCUAUAAGUCCUGUCCCUCGAAUGUCGACCAAACUUCUCGAAUAUCCAUUUGAAAUGGCGACUGCUCCACCGCAGACGACGUCAUCAUCUCCAAACAACCCCAAACUAACACCCCGGACUCUCCUCACCUCCCUCUUCCCAAACCCCAAACUGGUUCCCUCCAAAUCUCACCAAAUCAUCUCGAAUUUCAAAUCAAAAUUCGGGCCAGGAACCCUAGUUUUCAACAGUUGGAGUUUUACUUAUUUAAGUGGCUAUAUCAACUCUUAAUCGUGUGUUUUACCUUGAAAACACCUGAUUAAGGAUGGUUAUCGUCCGAUUACCUCUAAAAGCCGGCAUUAAUUUAGAUUCCAAAUGAGUGAUUUUGAGGUAUUCCCCUUCUACAUCCUUUCAGUUAUUCUUCAUGAUUUUGAUUUUAUUUUUUCUAUUUGGUAUUUCUAUUAUUUUUAUUUUAUUUUUGGGUCUUAAUUUAGGUUUUGAUUUCAGCCAUGGAGUGUUAGCUUGCUCUAAUUUUUCAAUUAUAUGAUUGAUGUUUGCUACUGAUUUAUGUUGGGUUUUCUUAUAGAGUUAAGAUUUAAUAUAUUUCUCGAAUGAUUCCAUGCAUGUUGUUGUUUUGUUUAUUUUGUUCAUUUCUUUUAUGUUUUACAGUGAAGUAUGUUCUUUACUUUUUCCUUAUUUGGUAUAGUUAAGUUGUUCAUUAAUGUUUCAGUGAUGAGAUUAGUCUUAAGUUAUAGUUAGAAUUAAUUUUCAUGUGUUUGUUAAUUAGAUUGAUUUAUUAGUUCAAUUCUUAGGAACUGUUUGGAUAUGGCUGAAAGCUCCAGCAUUGGUUUAUUUAACCAUGGUUAGUUCUGACAAAGAUUAAGGGGAUAGGGUUUAGUUUAACAUAGAUUAGUAAUUAUAGGACCUAUUCAAGGGUAAUUUAGGUAUUUUAAACAAAAGAAUCCUGCAGUAACUAAUUUGGAACCCGCUAGGACCUUCUAGAUGGGGUUUUAAUUUAAAAUUCACGAUUUAAAUGGUCUAACUUGAGUAAUAAGUCAAGAACUAAGGGACUAAAUAGCUAAAAUCUGAAAAAACAAAAGAGGGACUGAAUGCAAACUAAUUUACAGCACAAAUGCCCUAGUCCUUGCCUAUAAAAGGCAUGCUAAAACCUGCCUUUAGAGGAAUGAAAAAAAUGGAGAGGAAAUACAGAAUCAUAGGCGGCUGAAAAUUGACCAAGAAAACUCUAAGGGGUAGGCUUGUUAUUCCAAAAGGAAAAUUCUGGUUCAAUUUUGAAAGAAUAGAUGGUGGAGUUUGAGUUUGAAAUGUUUUGAUUCCUGAGAGUCAGUUGCUUGCGUGAAAUUGUUUUCCGGGAUGUAUUACCCUGUUUUUGAGUUCAAAGAAAUCUUUUUGCUAUCUAUUCCAUUGCUGCUGGAUUUGAGUCUAUGUGACUAGCUUUUUUUGUUGAUUCUGCUAUUUAUUUGCUGAUCAAUCACUCUUUCUUAUUUCCAUUUUCCGUGUAUUUUCCCUAGCUCAUAGUGGGAGACCAAUUGUUGAACUUGUAAUAGUUGAAUGUGCUGAAAUGAAGACUGAGUUCAUGUUGACGUAUUUGUUUUACUCUCAUCUUGUUUUUAGUAUCUAGAUCUAGAAUUACUUAUGUGUAAGAGACUCCUAUAGAAUUUUCAUGGUUAAACUGGACUUGGAAACCAUGGUGGCUAUGGUCCUAUUGCUUGUUAGCAUUUAGCUUUAGUACUUCUUAUCAGCAUGC